Molecule: ribosomal RNA, 483 nt
Filed under: uncultured bacterium
Lineage: Bacteria
Description: partial 16S ribosomal RNA
Rfam family: Bacterial small subunit ribosomal RNA
Source: RNAcentral
ACUCAAAUGAAUUGACGGGGACCCGCACAAGCGGUGGAGCGUGUUGUUUAAUUCGACGAUAAGCGAAGAACCUUACCAAGGUUUGACAUCCUGCUAAGGUCUCCGAAAGGAGACUUUGCCUUCGGGCCGCAGUGACAGGUGAUGCAUGGCCGUCGUCAGCUCGUGUCGUGAGAUGUUAGGUUAAGUCCUUCAACGAGCGCAACCCCUAUGAAUAGUUGAAUUUUUCUAUUCAGACUGCCCCGGUAACGGGGAGGAAGGUGGGGAUGAUGUCAGGUCAUUAUUUCCCUUACACCUUGGGCCACAAACACGCUACAAUGGCCGGUACAGAGGGCUGCCAAGCAGCAAUGCGGAGCAAAUCCCAUCAAAGCCGGUCCCAGUUCGGAUUGGGGGCUGAAACCCGCCCCCAUGAAGCCGGAAUCGCUAGUAAUGGUAGAUCAGCAUGCUACCGUGAAUACGUUCCCGGGUCUUGCACACACCGCCCGU